CUAAUUAUAUUUGUUUUAAUUGAUGAAAGAUAAGUUAAAAUUAAAAUGUUGAUUAAUUUAUUAAUUAAGAUUGCUUAUAUUUUAUCGACUUUGUCGCAUAAAGUUCUAGAUAGAAUACUGAUUAUGACAAUUUUCUAUCUAUGUGUCUUGACCAAAUUACGUGCCAGCAGUCGCGGCAAUACGUAGAAGACUAGUGUUAUUCAUCUUUAGUAGGUUUAAAGGGUACCUAGACGGUUUAAUUAGUCCAAAAUAGGAUACGAUUUUACUAGAGUUAUAUAAAAGAAGGUGAGUAUUUGUGGAGUAGAGUUGAAAUUUUUUAAUACCACGAGGACUGGUAACGGCGAAAGCAACCUUUUAUCUAAUAACUGACGUUGAGGGACGAAGGCUCGGGUAGCAAACAGGAUUAGAUACCCUAGUAGUCCAAGCAGAAAAUUAUGAAUGCCAUAGAUUAGAUAUUUUUAAUUUAUAAAUGAAAGUGUAAGCAUUCCACCUCAAGAGUAAUGUGGCAACGCAGGAACUGAAAUCAUUAGACCGUUUCUGAAACCAGUAGUGAAGUAUGUUAUUUAAUUCGAUAGUCCUCGAAAAACCUUACCACAAUUUGAAUAUUAUCUGUUCUUAAUUAUUUGUAGAUAUUAUAAAUAUAUUAUCCAGAUAUUACAAGUGUUGCAUGGCCGUCUUCAGUUAAUGUCGUGAGAUAUUGGUUAACUCCAUUAAAUUAACGGAAACCCUUGUUUUAUUUAUAAAUAUAGCCUCUUCGGUUACAAAAUAAA
Molecule: ribosomal RNA, 770 nt
Filed under: Pezicula carpinea
Lineage: Eukaryota; Fungi; Ascomycota; Leotiomycetes; Helotiales; Dermateaceae
Description: SSU rRNA
Rfam family: Bacterial small subunit ribosomal RNA (bases 95-770)
Source: RNAcentral